AUUGAACGCUGGCGGCAGGCCUAACACAUGCAAGUCGAACGAGUGGCGGACGGGUGAGUAAUGUCUGGGAAACUGCCCGAUGGAGGGGGAUAACUACUGGAAACGGUAGCUAAUAACGCAUACCAUCGGAUGUGCCCAGAUGGGAUUAGCUAGUGGGUGGGGUAACGGCUCACAUAGGCGACGAUCCCUAGCUGGUCUGAGAGGAUGACCACCCACACGGGACCGUAGACACGGUCCAUACUCCUCCGGUCGGCAGCAGUGGGGAAUAUUGCACAAUGGGCUCAAGCCUGAUGCAGCCAUGCCGCGUGUAUGAAGCAGGCCUUCGGGUUGUAAAGUACUUUCAUCGAGGAGGCGUUACUCGCAGAAGAAGCACCGGCUAACUCCGUGCCAGCAGCCGCGGUAAUUC
This 406-nucleotide ribosomal RNA is filed under the name uncultured bacterium. Its description in RNAcentral is "partial 16S ribosomal RNA". It matches the Rfam family "Bacterial small subunit ribosomal RNA", at positions 30 to 526 of the family's 1533-position model. The record is from RNAcentral.